GAAAGUAGGAAAGGGCGCAUGGCGGAUGCCUUGGCUCUCGGAGGCGAUGAAGGACGUGAUAAGCUGCGAUAAGUCACGGGGAGGUGCAAAUAACCCUUGAUCCGUGAAUCUCCGAAUGGGACAACCCGUUACCUUGAAGAGGUAACAUCCAUCAAUGAUGGAGGCUAACGCAGGGAACUGAAACAUCUUAGUACCUGCAGGAAAAGAAAAUAACAAUGAUUCCCCCAGUAGUGGCGAGCGAACGGGGAAGAGCCCAAACCAUUCAUGUUACGGCAUGGAUGGGGUUGUAGGACCACGGCGUUGCAAGAACUCUUGUGAGAAGAACAGUCUGGAAAGACUGACCAAAGACGGUGACAGUCCGGUAUUCGAAGCAAGACGAAGCAUAGUGGUAUCCUGAGUAGCGCGGAACACGAGGAAUUCUGCGUGAAUCUGCCGGGACCAUCCGGUAAGGCUAAAUACUCCCGAGAGACCGAUAGUGGACCAGUACCGUGAGGGAAAGGUGAAAAGCACUUCGAACAGAAGAGUGAAAUAGUACCUGAAACCGUGCGCCUACAAGCGGUCGGAGCACGAAAGUGUGACGGCGUGCCUUUUGCAUAAUGAACCUACGAGUUACCGUAUCUGGCAAGGUUAAGGGUCACGAGACCUGCAGCCGAAGCGAAAGCGAGUCUGAACAGGGCGUCAAGUCAGUUGCGGUAGACGCGAAACCAAGUGAUCUACCCUUGGCCAGGAUGAAGUCUGGGUAACACCAGAUGGAGGUCCGCACCAAUAAGCGUUGAAAAGCUUCUGGAUGAGCUGAGGGUAGGGGUGAAAGGCUAAUCAAACUUGGAGAUAGCUCGUACUCCCCGAAAUGCAUUUAGGUGCAGCCUCGCGGGUUACUGAUGUGAGGUAGAGCGACUGAUUGGAUGCGAGGGCUUCACCGCCUAUCAAGUCCUGACAAACUCCGAAUGCGCAUCAGUUCUACCGCAGGAGUGAGGGCAUGGGUGCUAAGGUCCGUGCCCGAGAGGAGAAGAAUCCGGACCACCGGCUAAGGUCCCGAAAUGACAGCUAAGUUAAACUAACGAAGUCUGAUUGCUAAGACAGCUAGGAUGUUGGCUUGGAAGCAGCCAUUCAUUUAAAGAGUGCGUAACAGCUCACUAGUCGAGGAAUCGGGCGUGGAUAAUAAUCGGGUAUCAAGUUGUCUGCCGAAGCUAUAGAAUCAGCAAUGAUUGGUAGGGGAGCAUUCCAUUCUGCGUUGAAGGCGUGGCGUGAGCCAUUCUGGAGCGUAUGGAAAAGCAAAUGUAGGUAUAAGUAACGAUAAAGGGGGUGAGAAACCCCCUCGCCGAAAGACUAAGGUUUCCUGAUCAACGCUAAUCGGAUCAGGGUCAGUCGGGUCCUAAGGCUCAGCCGAACGGCGAGGCCGAUGGCAGAAACGGUUAAUAUUCCGUUACUACCUUUGAGGGUGACGUGGGGAAGCAGUAGUGACACUGCCGCGGGCUGACGGAAUAGCCCGUUAAAGAGUGUAGGCGUUGAUUUCCGCAGGCAAAUCCACGGAAAGAGCCGAACUUGACAGUAUGGAGCGUCCUUCGGGACAAUCCAACAGCGCAGGUAAUCAGACUGCCGAGAAAAUCCGCUAAACAUAACUUCAGAGGUACCCGUACCGCAAACGGACACACGUAGUCGGGUUGAAUAUACUAAGGCGCUUGAGUGAAUCACGGUUAAGGAACUAGGCAAACUGACCCUGUAACUUCGGGAUAAAGGGUCCCUACCCAGUAAUGGGAGGGCGCAGAGAAUAGGUCCAGGCAACUGUUUAACAAAAACACAGGGCUGUGCCAAUAUGAAAGUAGACGUAUACAGCCUGACACCUGCCCGGUGCUGGAAGGUUAAGAGGAGAUGUCAUCGCAAGAGAAGCAUUGAAUUGAAGCCCCAGUAAACGGCGGCCGUAACUAUAACGGUCCUAAGGUAGCGAAAUUCCUUGUCGGGUAAGUUCCGACCUGCACGA
RNAcentral lists this ribosomal RNA (1978 nucleotides) under human gut metagenome. RNAcentral describes it as "bacterial LSU rRNA". It matches the Rfam family "Bacterial large subunit ribosomal RNA", at positions 1 to 1995 of the family's 2925-position model. The record is from RNAcentral.